UGUAGCUCAGUGGUAGAGCACUUGCCUAGCAUGCACAAGGCCCUGGGUUCAAUUCCCAGCA
Molecule: transfer RNA, 61 nt
Filed under: Urocitellus parryii (Arctic ground squirrel)
Lineage: Eukaryota; Metazoa; Chordata; Mammalia; Rodentia; Sciuridae
Also listed under: 2 other names
Description: Spermophilus parryii (Arctic ground squirrel) tRNA
Rfam family: tRNA
About the family: Transfer RNA (tRNA) molecules are approximately 80 nucleotides in length. Their secondary structure includes four short double-helical elements and three loops (D, anti-codon, and T loops).
Source: Rfam by way of RNAcentral